RNAcentral lists this ribosomal RNA (515 nucleotides) under uncultured bacterium. RNAcentral describes it as "partial 16S ribosomal RNA". It matches the Rfam family "Bacterial small subunit ribosomal RNA", at positions 28 to 523 of the family's 1533-position model. The record is from RNAcentral.
GAUGAACGCUGGCGGCGUGCCUAAUACAUGCAAGCCGAGCGAAUGGAUUAAGAGCUUGCUCUUAUGAAGUUAGCGGCGGACGGGUGAGUAACACGUGGGUAACCUGCCCAUAAGACUGGGAUAACUCCGGGAAACCGGGGCUAGUACCGGAUAACAUUUUGAACCGCAUGGUUCGAAAUUGAAAGGCGGCUUCGGCUGUCACUUAUGGAUGGACCCGCGUCGCAUUAGCUAGUUGGUGAGGUAACGGCUCACCAAGGCAACGAUGCGUAGCCGACCUGAGAGAGUGAUCGGCCACACUGGGACUGAGACACGGCCCAGACUCCUACGGGAGGCAGCAGUAGGGAAUCUUCCGCAAUGGACGAAAGUCUGACGGAGCAACGCCGCGUGAGUGAUGAGGGCUUUCGGGUCGUAAAACUCUGUUGUUAGGGAAGAACAAGUGCUAGUUGAAUAAGCUGGCACCUUGACGGUACCUAACCAGAAAGCCACGGCUAACUACGUGCCAGCAGCCGCAGUAA